UAUUGAUUCGCAUGUGAUCGCGCUAAGAACAUUCUACACUAGGGUGUUUGAUGUUAAAAACGUGAGCACCCACCCUCCGAGGAAGGGGGGGACGCACGCGGUGAUGCACAAAGGGGUGAGAUGGAUAUUUGUAUGUGAGAGCACUCAGGCGUGCACGACGAAAAGUCAGCGACAACCCGGGUACCCCCAUUGUAUGAUAAUGAUCCUUCCGCAGGUUCACCUAUGGAAA
RNAcentral lists this unclassified non-coding RNA (229 nucleotides) under uncultured fungus. RNAcentral describes it as "sequence contains ITS1". Lineage: Eukaryota; Fungi. The record is from RNAcentral.